AGGUCCGGGAUGACCUAUUCUUCUAUUCUCUUUUCCCGUUCUCCCUCAAUUCUCUCACCCCAAUUGGUAUCUCCCCGUUCUCUCUUCUGUUCGUUCUCUCCAUUUUUUUAUUUUCAUUUUCCACCGUAGCUGCAUAUGCAUAAUAAUCCCUAGAGAAAGUUUCGUUUUCUUUGCUCACGAUGCUAACGUGGACCCGUCCGUGCUUAUGUUUGGCAAUGUCAAGAGCCUUCAUUCCCGUCCAAAAACGUUGGUGUCAGCCUCCAUUUAUUAUUUUUAUUAAUUAAUUAAUAUUAAUGAUUUUUGUUGAUUUUAAUUUUACUGUGCAUUUAAUACUUUUUGUCUUUUGCGUUGCUUUUGCUUCGGUUACGAUGCGUUUAUUCAUUUAUUUCCAUUGUAAAUGUAAAUAUGUAAUAAUUAAUUAUUUGUAUUAUUUGUAUUUUGUUCCUAAGACGUUUGCCUUUCCAA
This is a long non-coding RNA of Glycine soja, 465 nucleotides long. RefSeq lists it as uncharacterized. The record is from RefSeq and is a predicted model, not a curated record. Lineage: Eukaryota; Viridiplantae; Streptophyta; Magnoliopsida; Fabales; Fabaceae. The transcript has 2 exons.